GGGAGUGGCGGAAUUGGCAGACGCGCUGGAUUCAGGUUCCAGUGGGGCAACCCGCUGGGGGUUCGACUCCCCCCUCCC
This 78-nucleotide transfer RNA is filed under the name Caldiserica bacterium CG02_land_8_20_14_3_00_36_38. Its description in RNAcentral is "tRNA-Leu". It matches the Rfam family "tRNA". Rfam says of the family: Transfer RNA (tRNA) molecules are approximately 80 nucleotides in length. Their secondary structure includes four short double-helical elements and three loops (D, anti-codon, and T loops). Lineage: Bacteria; Pseudomonadati; Caldisericota. The record is from RNAcentral.